This 579-nucleotide ribosomal RNA is filed under the name Sardinella aurita (round sardinella). RNAcentral's name for it is "partial 12S ribosomal RNA". It matches the Rfam family "Bacterial small subunit ribosomal RNA", at positions 556 to 1414 of the family's 1533-position model. Lineage: Eukaryota; Metazoa; Chordata; Actinopteri; Clupeiformes; Clupeidae. The record is from RNAcentral.
CGGCGUAAAGAGUGGUUAUGGAACCCGCCCCCACUAAAGCUAAAGAGCCCCUAAGCUGUUAUACGCACUUGGAAGCUUGAACCCCUGACACGAAAGUAGCUUUACCUUCUCCUGAACCCACGAUAGCUGGGGCACAAACUGGGAUUAGAAACCCCACUAUGCCCUGCCGUAAACUUAGAUAUUUAAUCACAACAAAUAUCCGCCUGGGGACUACGAGCGUUAGCUUAAAACCCAAAGGACUUGGCGGUGCUUCAGACCCCCCUAGAGGAGCCUGUUCUAGAACCGAUAACCCCCGUUCAACCUCACUAUUCCUUGCUUUUCCCGCCUAUAUACCGCCGUCGCCAGCUUACCCUGUGAAGGUAUUACAGUAAGCAAAACGGGCAUUGCCCAGAACGUCAGGUCGAGGUGUAGCGUACGGAGUAGGAAGAAAUGGGCUACAUUAUCUGAGACAGAUUAUUCACGGAGGGUCACCUGAAACGGCGACCCGAAGGUGGAUUUAGCAGUAAGGGGAGAAUAGAGCGCCCCCCUGAAGCCGGCUCUGAAGCGCGCACACACCGCCCGUCACUCUCCCCAACAGCA